AACGCGAAGAACCUUACCAGCCCUUGACAUCCCGGUCGCGGACACCAGAGAUGGAGUCUUUCAGUUCGGCUGGACCGGAGACAGGUGCUGCAUGGCUGUCGUCAGCUCGUGUCGUGAGAUGUUGGGUUAAGUCCCGCAACGAGCGCAACCCUCGCCCUUAGUUGCCAUCAUUUAGUUGGGCACUCUAAGGGGACUGCCGGUGAUAAGCCGCGAGGAAGGUGGGGAUGACGUCAAGUCCUCAUGGCCCUUACGGGCUGGGCUACACACGUGCUACAAUGGCGGUGACAGUGGGAUGCAAUGGAGUAAUCCUGCGCAAAUCUCAAAAAGCCGUCUCAGUUCGGAUUGUGCUCUGCAACUCGAGCACAUGAAGUUGGAAUCGCUAGUAAUCGCAGAUCAGCACGCUGCGGUGAAUACGUUCCCGGGCCUUGUA
RNAcentral lists this ribosomal RNA (430 nucleotides) under uncultured Alphaproteobacteria bacterium. RNAcentral describes it as "bacterial SSU rRNA". It matches the Rfam family "Bacterial small subunit ribosomal RNA", at positions 958 to 1385 of the family's 1533-position model. The record is from RNAcentral. Lineage: Bacteria; Pseudomonadati; Pseudomonadota; Alphaproteobacteria.